UACGGAGGGUGCAAGCGUUAUUCGGAAUUAUUGGGCGUAAAGCGCGUGCAGGCGGGUAGACAAGUCUGAUGUGAAAGCCCCGGGCUCAACCUGGGAAGUACAUUGGAAACUGUUUAUCUUGAGCGCUGGAGAGGAAGGGGGAAUUCCCGGUGUAGAGGUGAAAUUCGUAGAGAUCGGGAGGAAUACCAGUGGCGAAGGCGCCCUUCUGGACGGCAACUGACGCUGAGACGCGAAAGCGUGGGGAG
RNAcentral lists this ribosomal RNA (245 nucleotides) under uncultured bacterium. RNAcentral's name for it is "partial 16S ribosomal RNA". It matches the Rfam family "Bacterial small subunit ribosomal RNA", at positions 524 to 768 of the family's 1533-position model. The record is from RNAcentral.